RNAcentral lists this ribosomal RNA (253 nucleotides) under uncultured bacterium. Its description in RNAcentral is "partial 16S ribosomal RNA". It matches the Rfam family "Bacterial small subunit ribosomal RNA", at positions 524 to 776 of the family's 1533-position model. The record is from RNAcentral.
UACGUAGGGUGCGAGCGUUGUCCGGAAUUAUUGGGCGUAAAGAGCUUGUAGGCGGUUUGUCGCGUCUGCCGUGAAAUUUCGGGGCUCAACCCCGAACUUGCGGUGGGUACGGGCAGACUAGAGUGUGGUAGGGGAGACUGGAAUUCCUGGUGUAGCGGUGAAAUGCGCAGAUAUCAGGAGGAACACCGGUGGCGAAGGCGGGUCUCUGGGCCGUAACUGACGCUGAGGAGCGAAAGCAUGGGGAGCGAACAGG